GAAGAAGUCUGCAUCCUUCAAGAAAAACAUGAUUUUCAUGCAGGACAAUGCUCCAUCACACGCGUCCAAGUACUCCACAGCGUGGCUGGCAAGAAAGGGUAUAAAAGAAGAAAAUCUAAUGACAUGGCCUCCUUGUUCACCUGAUCUGAACCCCAUUGAGAACCUGUGGUCCAUCAUCAAAUGUGAGAUUUACAAGGAGGGAAAACAGUACACCUCUCUGAACAGUGUCUGGGAGGCUGUGGUUGCUGCUGCACGCAAUGUUGAUGGUGAACAGAUCAAAACACUGACAGAAUCCAUGGAUGGCAGGCUUUUGAGUGUCCUUGCAAAGAAAGGUGGCUAUAUUGGUCACUGAUUUGUUUUUGUUUUGUUUUUGAAUGUCAGAAAUGUAUAUUUGUGAAUGUUGAGAUGUUAUAUUGGUUUCACUGGUAAUAAUAAAUAAUUGAAAUGGGUAUAUAUUUGUUUUUUGUUAAGUUGCCUAAUAAUUAUGCACAGUAAUAGUCACCUGCACACACAGAUAUCCCCCUAACAUAGCUAUAACUAAAAACAAACUAAAAA
Molecule: non-coding RNA, 555 nt
Organism: Pelobates cultripes (western spadefoot toad)
Lineage: Eukaryota; Metazoa; Chordata; Amphibia; Anura; Pelobatidae
Source: the annotation of a GenBank genome assembly